Molecule: ribosomal RNA, 228 nt
Filed under: uncultured bacterium
Lineage: Bacteria
Description: partial 16S ribosomal RNA
Rfam family: Bacterial small subunit ribosomal RNA
Source: RNAcentral
GAACACGUGAGAAACCUGCCCCAGACUUUGGGAUAACAAAUGGAAACGUUUGCUAAUACCAAAUACCGUCGGAGAGUCACAUGACUUUCUGACGAAAGGUAUUCCGGUUUGGGAGGGUCUCGCGGCCUAUCAGCUAGUUGGCGGGGUAAUGGCCCACCAAGGCAACGACGGGUAGCUGGUCUGAGAGGAUGGUCAGCCACACUGGGACUGAGACACGGCCCAGACUCC